GAUGAAGAACGCAGCGAAAUGCGAUAAGUAGUGUGAAUUGCAGAAUUCAGUGAAUCAUCGAAUCUUUGAACGCACAUUGCGCCCCUUGGUAUUCCAUGGGGCAUGCCUGUUCGAGCGUCAUUUGUACCCUCAAGCUUUGCUUGGUGUUGGGUGUUUGUCCCGCGUUGCGCGUGGACUCGCCUUAAAGCGAUUGGCAGCCGGCAUAUUGGCCUUGGAGCGCAGCACAUUUUGCGCUUCUAGUCAUGAAUGUUGGCGUCCAUUAAGCCUAUACAUUUGCUCUUGACCUCGGAUCAGGUAGGGAUACCCGCUGAACUUAAGCAUAUCAAUAGCGGAGGA
Molecule: unclassified non-coding RNA, 336 nt
Filed under: soil metagenome
Description: partial contains 5.8S ribosomal RNA, internal transcribed spacer 2, and large subunit ribosomal RNA
Rfam family: 5.8S ribosomal RNA (bases 1-120)
Source: RNAcentral